UCGAACGAGAAGUACAGUAGCAAUACUGUAUUGUAAAGUGGCGCACGGGUGAGUAACACGUGGGUAAUCUGCCCUCGAGUUUGGGAUAACCCCGCGAAAGCGGGGCUAAUACCGGAUAAGACCACGGAGACCAAAGUCUCUGAGGUAAAAGGUGGCCUCUAUUUAUAAGCUACCACUUGAGGAUGAGCCCGCGGCCCAUUAGCUAGUUGGCAGGGUAACGGCCUACCAAGGCAAUGAUGGGUAGCUGGUCUGAGAGGACGAUCAGCCACACUGGAACUGAGACACGGUCCAGACUCCUACGGGAGGCAGCAGUGGGGAAUAUUGCGCAAUGGGCGAAAGCCUGACGCAGCAACGCCGCGUGGGGGAUGAAGGUUCUCGGAUUGUAAACCCCUUUCGAUCGGAACGAAUCCCCUCCUGGUAAAUAAUCAGGAGGAUCGACGGUACCGAGAGAAGAAGCCACGGCUAACUCUGUGCCAGCAGCCGCGGUAAGACAGAGGUGGCUAGCGUUGUUCGGAUUUAUUGGGCGUAAAGCGCACGCAGGCGGUUUGGUAAGUCAGAGGUGAAAGCCCACGGCUUAACCGUGGCAUUGCCUUUGAUACUGCCUUUCUUGAGUAGAGUAGGGGGAAGCGGAAUUCCGAGUGUAGAGGUGAAAUUCGUAGAUAUUCGGAGGAACACCGGUGGCGAAGGCGGCUUCCUGGACUCUAACUGACGCUCAUGUGCGAAAGCGUGGGGAGCAAACAGGAUUAGAUACCCUGGUAGUCCACGCCCUAAACGAUGGGCACUAGGUGUGGGAGGUAUCGAC
RNAcentral lists this ribosomal RNA (802 nucleotides) under uncultured bacterium. Its description in RNAcentral is "bacterial SSU rRNA". It matches the Rfam family "Bacterial small subunit ribosomal RNA", at positions 62 to 836 of the family's 1533-position model. The record is from RNAcentral.